GUGGCUGAGGCCGAACGGUCAGGCACUGGAUUGUGAUUCCAGGUGAAGUGGGUUCAACUCCCAUCAGCCACC
Molecule: transfer RNA, 72 nt
Filed under: Allochromatium warmingii
Lineage: Bacteria; Pseudomonadati; Pseudomonadota; Gammaproteobacteria; Chromatiales; Chromatiaceae
Rfam family: tRNA
About the family: Transfer RNA (tRNA) molecules are approximately 80 nucleotides in length. Their secondary structure includes four short double-helical elements and three loops (D, anti-codon, and T loops).
Source: Rfam by way of RNAcentral